This is a long non-coding RNA of Bombus impatiens (common eastern bumble bee), 2809 nucleotides long. RefSeq lists it as uncharacterized. The record is from RefSeq and is a predicted model, not a curated record. Lineage: Eukaryota; Metazoa; Arthropoda; Insecta; Hymenoptera; Apidae. The transcript has 2 exons.
AAAGCUGAAUAGACGAAGAUAAGAUCAAUUACUAGGAUAAUCUUCUGACAUGUAAUUAUUCAAAUAUAUUUCUAAAACUUUUGUUAUCCACUUUGUUGUUAUUGUGCAAAGGAAUUUAUUAGUUUAGCAACUCGUGAAAUUUCACAAAUAGUAUCAAUUCCUAAAUCUCUAAAUAACUGAAAAACGCAUAUUCAUACUCUGAACAUGUUUUAUACAACAUCAAUCUACGUACUCAUACUUAGGUCUAUCAACUCGCAUAAAGCAUAUCUACAAACACUCCAGAAACUGGCGACACAUAUUCGGAAAAAAUGAAGACGACACUGAAACGACCAAGUAGAAAUAAACGAAUCUCAAAAAGCAAUCAGAAGAAGAUACAACGAUAUAACGUUGAAGUAAGUCUCAGUGCACAUCAAUAGUACGCUGCUCAUUGCAGCCACGUAGGCUUGUUAUAACUGAUUUAUGUUUAAUAUAAUUGCGCCAAUAUUCUGAGAACUUGUCAGCUAUACCAAAAAGUGUCGAGUGAUGAAUGAUGCUCGACGCUGCCCGCUACACACAGCCCCCUACCAGCAAGAAGACGAUGACGACUAACCGAGAGAAACAUAUUGAGAAAAGUAGUUAGAGAAGAACAGAGAAAAGUGAGAGAGGACUCAAGAGGAUCGUAAGACCCGUUGAGGCAGAGUUUCAAGCUUCUCGCGUCAAUGUUACAUCGCAUGACGUCGAAGACUUCACGACGUUGAUGGUCGAAUAGUUCGUCAACAAAGAGAAGAUAGCAACUUCUGACCUAAGCUAUAUGGUAGGCUGGCUCGUGCACAACUAGCUGGGCGUAAUCGUAAUAAAUCACGAGCGACGAUAGUCGGUCAGCUUUUCUGCAAACAUUCUUAUCAGAACGGUUGCUUGUACGAGCAGCCAUCUAGAGGCACGAGCAGUUCGGCAGCGUCGCGACUGUCUGUCGACAUCAAAAGCCAGUCUUGAACGGGCCCGACGAGUCCGUCCAGCGCGCGUCAACGAUGAUAAAUUGCUGGCCUAGCUCGAACCUCUGUAUGAUCUACACAGAGGCAUCGGCGCCCCGGCGCCACUCUCGUUUCUGCAACCCCAGGGUCUUGCCUCGAGUGGGAAAUUCAAGAACCAUCGCGUAAUGCUCCGUUUCUUUCACUCGUUUCGCAUACCUGUUCCACGAGAUACGAAUCUCGCGCUGCGAUCGUGAAUCGUUAGCGUUUCCACGAAACCAUCGAAUAAAUUGUCACGGUGAAACCGAGCCGCUGCCUGACUUGAUCUAUCGCUCGUAGAAACUUUUCCAGUAGCUACGUGUGGUACGUUGAAUAGGUUUUUCUCGCGCCACAAUUGACAACACACGCGUCGCCUAGCAUCUACUCUCGCUAGACCUCCUGCAUUCAUGGCCUGUUAAAUUCAACUUUAUGAUCGUCUAUGCGUCACUUCUCGCGCGGUUGGCUAAGCUUUUCUUCGUGUAAACAAACGUGAUGCAAGGGUUCGAGAGUUGAGCAGGCCUCAACAAAGACUACUUUCCUGAACCUCGCGUGUGUCGGUCUCGGUGCAACUCGCGGCGAUGACAUCAGGGGUCACGCGGCUACUUGACCCGCGGCUGUUUUCCAUAAUAUGGUCAAUUAGCGCAUGUCGGGCCAGUGUCGAGUGGACAUUCUGUCUUUCGUACGGGUUUCUAUGGGAAUGAAUUUAUCACGGAAUUGUGUGGUUCUUAAUUUGUUCUUUAUUAGGUCGUGUUUGCUAGUAUACGUACGUUAAUCAUUUUGAUAGUUUAUUACAAGAAGAUUAUUAUUGCUAAGAAUAAAUUGCAUAUAGCCUUUGUUUGCGAUAUUUAUUGAUACUUAUGAGCUAUUUGAAAAACAAACAGAGCGGUAUCUCUUGAAAAUUUUGUAUCUUUUGCAUCAGAAUGCGUGGCUAGUGUUUAGUUUCUCAGAAAUGAAGAAAAUAUACAUGUUCGUAAUUAACGUAUCCAUCAUAGGUGUCACCAACCGUGUGUCUAAUGACUAAUACGUAUACACCAUCGAUUCUUAUCAAAACACUUUUGAGCUGAAAAAAAGAUCUUUACGAACAAAGGACUUUGCCUGUGUACAAAUUUUUAGCAACCUCAUCUAAUUAAAUAUGGAUGUUUUAACUUGAACGAAGUGGAACAGCUCGGCUCCUGUGUCACUUAUACAAUUAAUGUCUUUUUUGACUUCAAACGAGCAUACGAUUUAUAAUGAUAUCUUGUAAGCAAAAUGUUGAAUAUUCCUUAUAUUUGUUCCUUUUCAAUGCAAAUUUGACAUUUCAGUAUAAGAAGAUUUUCAAUUUAUGUCGAAUUGUUUUACAAGCAUUGCAUACUUCGUAUGCAAUUGACAUCCAUGUACAAAUUGCAAUAUGGAAAUGCCUGUAUGUAUUUUCUUCAUAACCAGCUCGUAGGCGUAUGCCGAUAAGGCUAGAAAAUGUUCUUUUUCAACUCAUAUUUAUACAUUAAAAUAAGCUGUAUUUUAACUCUAUUGCAAUCCUCGAAUUUUCAUAUUUCAACCUUGUUACACAAUAAAAAGAAACCUUAUGGUAUUCGAAACACAUAUCCGGACAAAAAUAUAGCCGUUUGUGCAUACUCGUAUCCAUCUCCGCAACCCAUAUCGUGAAGAAUUUUAACACGAACGUGAAUGUAUUGUAAUGUUACAAAUUAAAUCAUGAUAUCAUAUAAACAUGGCGUUACGUGAAGUAUGACAAAACAACAAUCUUAAUCGCAUUAUUUAAUACCGUAACAUGUAUAAAAUUUGUUCGAAAGAAACGAAGAUGUAGAGAAUAUGGAAAAAUAUAUAUU